AUGCACUACCUCCCUGGGCCAUGGCAUGUGUGUACAUACCCUGGGGAGGGGCCCCUGAAUUUUGGGGGCCCGGGGCGGCCGCCCCCCCUGCCCCCCCUCAGGGUCGGGCCUGCAACCACUCUACGAUGUCGCCUGGGAUGUCAUCCUCGUCGACAGCCCGCGUGGGUACGCGGCGUCGUCGCCGGGUCGGAUGUCAGCGGUUACACCGCGGGCGUGCUGGCGCGGGCUCGGAACGAGGAGGGUGCCUCGACGGACAUGUUGGUGCAUGACUACGAGCAGGAGAUGGAGCGGGCGUGCUCCAGGGAGUUCCUGUGA
This 315-nucleotide ribosomal RNA is filed under the name Triticum aestivum (bread wheat). Its description in RNAcentral is "partial small subunit ribosomal RNA". Lineage: Eukaryota; Viridiplantae; Streptophyta; Magnoliopsida; Poales; Poaceae. The record is from RNAcentral.